This 686-nucleotide ribosomal RNA is filed under the name uncultured Mycobacterium sp. RNAcentral describes it as "bacterial SSU rRNA". It matches the Rfam family "Bacterial small subunit ribosomal RNA", at positions 133 to 833 of the family's 1533-position model. Lineage: Bacteria; Bacillati; Actinomycetota; Actinomycetes; Mycobacteriales; Mycobacteriaceae. The record is from RNAcentral.
GCACUUCGGGAUAAGCCUGGGAAACUGGGUCUAAUACCGGAUAGGACGACGGUCAGCAUGGAUUGUGGUGGAAAGCUUUUGCGGUGUGGGAUGGGCCCGCGGCCUAUCAGCUUGUUGGUGGGGUGAUGGCCUACCAAGGCGACGACGGGUAGCCGGCCUGAGAGGGUGUCCGGCCACACUGGGACUGAGAUACGGCCCAGACUCCUACGGGAGGCAGCAGUGGGGAAUAUUGCACAAUGGGCGCAAGCCUGAUGCAGCGACGCCGCGUGAGGGAUGACGGCCUUCGGGUUGUAAACCUCUUUCAGUGCCGACGAAGCGUAAGUGACGGUAGGCAUAGAAGAAGCACCGGCCAACUACGUGCCAGCAGCCGCGGUAAUACGUAGGGUGCGAGCGUUGUCCGGAAUUACUGGGCGUAAAGAGCUCGUAGGUGGUUUGUCGCGUUGUUCGUGAAAACUCACAGCUCAACUGUGGGCGUGCGGGCGAUACGGGCAGACUGGAGUACUGCAGGGGAGACUGGAAUUCCUGGUGUAGCGGUGGAAUGCGCAGAUAUCAGGAGGAACACCGGUGGCGAAGGCGGGUCUCUGGGCAGUAACUGACGCUGAGGAGCGAAAGCGUGGGGAGCGAACAGGAUUAGAUACCCUGGUAGUCCACGCCGUAAACGGUGGGUACUAGGUGUGGGUUUCCUU